AGAGAUCAUGGCUCAGGAUGAACGCUAGCGGCAGGCCUAAUACAUGCAAGUCGAACGGGAAUAAGUAGCAAUACUUAUUCUAGUGGCGCACGGGUGCGUAACGCGUAUGCAACCUACCUUUUAUUGGGGGAUAGCCCGAAGAAAUUCGGAUUAAUACCGCAUAAUAUCCUUUGAUGGCAUCUGAAGAGGAUUAAAGCUACGGCGAUAAAAGAUGGGCAUGCGUGACAUUAGCUAGUUGGUUGAGGUAAUGGCUCACCAAGGCUACGAUGUCUAGGGGUUCUGAGAGGAUGAUCCCCCACACUGGUACUGAGAUACGGACCAGACUCCUACGGGAGGCAGCAGUAGGGAAUAUUGGGCAAUGGACGCAAGUCUGACCCAGCCAUGCCGCGUGCAGGAUGAAGGCCUUCUGGGUUGUAAACUGCUUUUAUCUAGGAAGAAAAAACUCUUGCGAGAGGAACUGACGGUACUAGAUGAAUAAGCACCGGCUAACUCCGUGCCAGCAGCCGCGGUAAUACGGAGGGUGCAAGCGUUGUCCGGAUUUAUUGGGUUUAAAGGGUGCGUAGGCGGCCUAUUAAGUCAGUGGUGAAAGCCAACAGCUCAACUGUUGAACUGCCAUUGAUACUGAUAGGCUUGAGUACAGACGAGGUAGGCGGAAUUGAUGCUGUAGCGGUGAAAUGCAUAGAUAGCAUCAAGAACACCGAUUGCGUAGGCAGCUUACUAGGCUGUAACUGACGCUGAGGCACGAAAGCGUGGGGAGCGAACAGGAUUAGAUACCCUGGUAGUCCACGCUGUAAACGAUGAUUACUCGAUGUUGGCGAUAAACAGUCAGCGUCUUAGCGAAAGCGUUAAGUAAUCAACCUGGGGAGUACGCCCGCAGGGUGAAACUCAAGGGAUUGACGGGGG
Molecule: ribosomal RNA, 903 nt
Filed under: uncultured Bacteroidota bacterium
Lineage: Bacteria; Pseudomonadati; Bacteroidota
Description: bacterial SSU rRNA
Rfam family: Bacterial small subunit ribosomal RNA
Source: RNAcentral